Molecule: ribosomal RNA, 466 nt
Filed under: uncultured bacterium
Lineage: Bacteria
Description: partial 16S ribosomal RNA
Rfam family: Bacterial small subunit ribosomal RNA
Source: RNAcentral
GAUGAACGCUGGCGGCGUGCUUAACACAUGCAGGUCGAACGGAAAGGCUCCUGCUUGCAGGGGUACUCGAGUGGCGAACGGGUGAGUAACACGUGGGUGAUCUGCCCUGCACUUCGGGAUAAGCCUGGGAAACUGGGUCUAAUACCGGAUAGGACGAUGGUUUGGAUGCCAUUGUGGAAAGUUUUUUCGGUGUGGGAUGAGCUCGCGGCCUAUCAGCUUGUUGGUGGGGUAAUGGCCUACCAAGGCGUCGACGGGUAGCCGGCCUGAGAGGGAGUACGGCCACAUUGGGACUGAGAUACGGCCCAGACUCCUACGGGAGGCAGCAGUGGGGAAUAUUGCACAAUGGGCGCAAGCCUGAUGCAGCGACGCCGCGUGGGGGAUGACGGCCUUCGGGUUGUAAACUCCUUUCGCUAGGGACGAAGCGCAAGCGACGGUACCUGGAGAAGAAGCACCGGCUAACUACGUG